Molecule: ribosomal RNA, 494 nt
Filed under: uncultured Bacillota bacterium
Lineage: Bacteria; Bacillati; Bacillota
Description: bacterial SSU rRNA
Rfam family: Bacterial small subunit ribosomal RNA
Source: RNAcentral
ACAAACGCUGGCGGCGUGCAUAACACAUGCAAGUUGAACGGGACUUUUGCUUCGGUAAAAGUCAAGUAGCAAACGGGUGAGUAACGCGUAGGCAACCUGCCUUCAAGAUGGGGACAACAUACCGAAAGGUGUGCUAAUACCGAAUGUUGUAAAAGCUUCACAUGAAGCAUUUACCAAAGUAUGCGUAAGCAUACACUUGGAGAUGGGCCUGCGUCUGAUUAGCUAGUUGGGAGGGUAACGGCCUACCAAGGCGACGAUCAGUAGCCGGUCUGCGAGGAGGAACGGCCACAUUGGGACUGAGUGACGGCCCAGACUCCUACGGGAGGCAGCAGUGGGGAAUCUUCCGCAAUGGGCGAAAGCCUGACGGAGCAACGCCGCGUGAACGAGGAAGGUCUUAGGAUCGUAAAGUUCUGUUUUAGGGGACGAACGGCAUUAUAUCCAAUAGGUAUAGUGAGUGACGGUACCCUGAUAGAAAGCCACGGCUAACUACGUGC